RNAcentral lists this ribosomal RNA (528 nucleotides) under uncultured bacterium. Its description in RNAcentral is "partial 16S ribosomal RNA". It matches the Rfam family "Bacterial small subunit ribosomal RNA", at positions 356 to 899 of the family's 1533-position model. The record is from RNAcentral.
UGGGAAUAUUGCACAAUGGGCGAAAGCCUGAUGCAGCAACGCCGCGUGAGUGAUGAAGGCCUUCGGGUUGUAAAGCUCUGUCUUUUGGGACGAUAAUGACGGUACCAAAGGAGGAAGCCACGGCUAACUACGUGCCAGCAGCCGCGGUAAUACGUAGGUGGCAAGCGUUGUCCGGAUUUACUGGGCGUAAAGGAUGCGUAGGCGGAUUUUUAAGUGAGAUGUGAAAUACCCGGGCUUAACUUGGGUGCUGCAUUUCAAACUGGGAAUCUAGAGUGCGGGAGAGGAGAAUGGAAUUUCCUAGUGUAGCGGUGAAAUGCGUAGAGAUUAGGAAGAACACCAGUGGCGAAGGCGAUUCUCUGGACCGUAACUGACGCUGAGGCAUGAAAGCGUGGGUAGCAAACAGGAUUAGAUACCCUGGUAGUCCACGCCGUAAACGAUGAGUACUAGGUGUAGGAGGUAUCGACCCCUUCUGUGCCGCAGUUAACACAAUAAGUACUCCGCCUGGGAAGUACGAUCGCAAGAUUAAAA